GGCCUCAGGUGAUGGAGAAGUGACCGGGGAAGACUGUGACCGAAGUGGGAUGUAUUCGUACUGGCUGAUGGGGCC
Molecule: small nucleolar RNA, 75 nt
Organism: Equus caballus (horse)
Lineage: Eukaryota; Metazoa; Chordata; Mammalia; Perissodactyla; Equidae
Source: Ensembl